GUAGGUGGCAAGCGUUGUCCGGAAUUAUUGGGCGUAAAGCGCGCGCAGGCGGUUCGUUUAAGUCUGAUGUGAAAGCCCACGGGCUCAACCGUGGAGGGUCAUUGGAAACUGGAGAACUUGAGUACAGAAGAGGAAAGCGGAAUUCCACGUGUAGCGGUGAAAUGCGUAGAGAUGUGGAGGAACACCAGUGGCGAAGGCGGCUUUCUGGUCUGUAACUGACGCUGAGGCGCGAAAGCGUGGGGAGCAAACAGGAUUAUAUACCCUGGUAGUCCACGCCGUAAACGAUGAGUGCUAAGUGUUAGGGGGUUUCCGCCCCUUAGUGCUGCAGCUAACGCAUUAAGCACUCCGCCUGGGGAGUACGGCCGCAAAGGCUG
This 374-nucleotide ribosomal RNA is filed under the name uncultured organism. RNAcentral describes it as "partial 16S ribosomal RNA". It matches the Rfam family "Bacterial small subunit ribosomal RNA", at positions 527 to 896 of the family's 1533-position model. The record is from RNAcentral.